Molecule: long non-coding RNA, 1002 nt
Filed under: Sus scrofa (pig)
Lineage: Eukaryota; Metazoa; Chordata; Mammalia; Artiodactyla; Suidae
Description: lncRNA (ENSSSCG00060052064.1)
Source: RNAcentral
AAAUCAUGGCCCAACCCAUUUUCAUACUGUAGGGUCACCAUUCUCUUAGAUUAUAAUUUAGGAACAUUCCUAGGAAUGCGCUCAAUUGCUUAUGGCAAAGCUUUAAAGUCCAUGGUAAAAGAUUUAGUUUCUGUUUUUUAAGCCAUUUCUACACCUCAAGUUUUUCUUCAAAGUGGUUGCUAGGCAGUGUGUUAGUGUUUCAAAUAAACAGAGAAAUGAGCUCUUUCCCUUUAAGGUUCAGUUUUUACUUAUUACCAAAUUCUCCUUUAGAUCAACAGGCCCAAUGACCUUCUUUCAUGUUGUUGCUUAAAGAAAAAGAUAAGUCAAAAUCAAAUUGCUAUUCUUAACCCAGUGGUAUGCAGUGAAAUCAACUAAUUAGGCUGCAUCUUACUGUUAUUUUCCCCUAUAUUUGUAUAGGAAAGCCCAGAGCAUAUGACGGGCUUCAGGACCCCUUUACUGGAAGCUCAUCAGAAGCAGACCCUAUGACCUCUGGCCUUGACAAUCAACUGAACCACAUUUGUCCUUGGCACAAUGGAGAGAGAACUGGAAUCAAGAGAGAAGAUGAUGACAGAGUGAGAGUGAGCCACGAGGGAUCCUGAAAGCUGUGUAUCCGAGAUCACCAACCAGAGAGCCAGCCUGAGAUAUGAAAGCCCCUGGGGGAGGCGGACUCUCCCUAGGACUGACCCAGAGAAGCUGAUUUAAGUGAUUUUUCUGGGAUUCCAGUGGGUGGCUAAAAGAGGCCAGUUGACUUCUGGUGACAUUCUGUGAUCCUGCCUGACUAUGUGGACCUGGGGGUAAGGUGGGGAUGGGAAAGGAAGUAUUGAUGUUUCAACAUGGCCAAGAACUUCAGCUCAGCUAAACUUUGGAAAAGUGAAGAAACCAAAGGUUUAUGGGUUACCCGGGCUCUCAUGUCUGCCUAUUCCAUAUCUUUUCCUUUUUCUCUUUGAUUACUUAUUUGAGGGGUUGUGGGUGGGAGGCGAAGAGAUACAGUCAGAGAUAGAC